RNAcentral lists this ribosomal RNA (460 nucleotides) under uncultured bacterium. Its description in RNAcentral is "partial 16S ribosomal RNA". It matches the Rfam family "Bacterial small subunit ribosomal RNA", at positions 338 to 795 of the family's 1533-position model. The record is from RNAcentral.
CCUACGGGUGGCAGCAGUGAGGAAUAUUGGUCAAUGGGCGGAAGCCUGAACCAGCCAAGUAGCGUGCAGGAUGACGGCCCUACGGGUUGUAAACUGCUUUUAUACGGGAAUAACGCGCCUUACGUGUAGGGCUUUGCAUGUACCGUAUGAAUAAGGACCGGCUAAUUCCGGGCCAGCAGCCGCGGUAAUCCGGAAGGUCCGGGCGUUAUCCGGAUUUAUUGGGUUUAAAGGGAGCGUCGGCCGCAUGUCAAGCGUGCUGUGAAAGGUCCGGGCUCAACCCGGGCCUUGGAGCGCGAACUGGCUUGCUUGAGUCCGCGGAAAGCAGGCGGAAUUCGUCGUUUAGCGGUGAAAUGCUUAGAUAUGACGAAGAACCCCGAUUGCGAAGGCAGCUUGCUGCAGCGGAACUGACGCUGAUGCUCGAAAGCGCGGGUAUCGAACAGGAUUAGAUACCCGAGUAGUC